Dermacentor andersoni is the source of this 744-nucleotide long non-coding RNA. RefSeq lists it as uncharacterized. Lineage: Eukaryota; Metazoa; Arthropoda; Arachnida; Ixodida; Ixodidae. The record is from RefSeq and is a predicted model, not a curated record.
GAAGUGGUUGUCAUCGAGCAUUCGUCGAUUACCUCCGCUCGCCCUUGCCACUCGCUCAGCGAUAUCCCAAGUCCGAUCGCGCUUGGUCAUCUGCUUCGGUUGUCGUCACAAGUAUGAAGAUGGGAAAGAUAAUACAGAGAAGCUUGAUCCGGCGUGCAGCGAACGGAAGAGCGGAAGAUGCAGGAAACCAGAUCAACCAACCAUUAGACGAAGAUGGCUAAAGCGAGACAUCACAUGUGUUGCGCGGCUCUGUGGCGUUCUAACACCGCGAAUUUCAGUUCAGCUGUUUUCAAGGUUUCCUAAUGACAGCAGUUCAAAACUUUCUGCGAUUUCGAAUGUUCCGGCAGUGCCGGAAAAACUGAGGAAAGGAUACAAGGCUUGCAGCGCGGCUAUGUGAUAAGGGAGAACUUUUUCCGUUUCCCAGCGGACGAGAGUUGUGACAUAUCACGAAAUGACGCUAAAUGGGCAGUCCUGGCAGAGCUGACUAGGGGGCAGAUGUAUAAUGGCGACGGCCUCUGCUCCUACCACUACAAAGGAAGGGACUGCGCUGACCAUGUCGUUGUAGGCUGUGCCGACUAUUGGAGCGGAAGCGUAGUCACUGAUUGAUGAAGCGAAGUUACGAGACCCAAGCAGCAUCCACCUGAAGAAGGGCCAAGAGGACGCGAGCUUCAGCUGGAAAACCUCCUUGGCAUGCAAAUCUGGCGCACGAGACAGCGAAACACGACGUGCGAACAGAUGCCACUA